RNAcentral lists this ribosomal RNA (439 nucleotides) under uncultured bacterium. Its description in RNAcentral is "partial 16S ribosomal RNA". It matches the Rfam family "Bacterial small subunit ribosomal RNA", at positions 339 to 795 of the family's 1533-position model. The record is from RNAcentral.
CUACGGGAGGCACCAGUGGGGAAUAUUGGACAAUGGGCGCAAGCCUGAUCCAGCAAUGCCGCGUGAGUGAAGACGGCCUUAGGGUUGUAAAACUCUUUCGCUAGGGAAGAUAAUGACUGUACCUAGUAAAGAAGUCCCGGCUAACUCCGUGCCAGCAGCCGCGGUAAUACGGAGGGGACUAGCGUUGUUCGGAAUUACUGGGCGUAAAGAGUUCGUAGGCGGACUGACAAGUUAGAGGUGAAAUCCCAGGGCUCAACCCUGGAACUGCCUUUAAAACUGUCAGUCUAGAGACCGGAAGAGGUUAGGGGAAUACCUAGUGUAGAGGUGAAAUUCGUAGAUAUUAGGUGGAACACCAGUGGCGAAGGCGCCUAACUGGUCCGGUACUGACGCUGAGGAACGAAAGCGUGGGGAGUAAACAGGAUUUGAUACCCCCGUAGUC